Molecule: ribosomal RNA, 433 nt
Filed under: uncultured bacterium
Lineage: Bacteria
Description: partial 16S ribosomal RNA
Rfam family: Bacterial small subunit ribosomal RNA
Source: RNAcentral
AGCGAACGCUGGCGGCAGGCCUAACACAUGCAAGUCGAACGGAUCCUUCGGGAUUAGUGGCGGACGGGUGAGUAACACGUGGGAACGUGCCCUUUGGUUCGGAACAACUCAGGGAAACUUGAGCUAAUACCGGAUGUGCCCUUCGGGGGAAAGAUUUAUCGCCAUUGGAGCGGCCCGCGUCUGAUUAGCUAGUUGGUGAGGUAACGGCCCACCAAGGCGACGAUCAGUAGCUGGUCUGAGAGGAUGAUCAGCCACACUGGGACUGAGACACGGCCCAGACUCCUACGGGAGGCAGCAGUGGGGAAUCUUGCGCAAGGGGCGAAAGCCUGACGAAGCCAUGCCGCGUGAAUGAUGAAGGUCUUAGGAUUGUAAAAUUCUUUCAGCGGGGACGAUAAUGACGGUACCCGCAGAAGAAGCGCCGGCUAACUUCGUG